UACGGAGGAUGCGAGCGUUAUCCGGAUUUAUUGGGUUUAAAGGGUGCGCAGGCGGCGUGUCAAGCAAGCGGUAAAAUAGCGGGGCUCAACCCCGUCGAGCCGUUUGAACUGGCGCGCUUGAGUUCAGGCGAGGUAGGCGGAAUUCGUGGUGUAGCGGUGAAAUGCAUAGAUAUCACGAAGAACUCCGAUUGCGAAGGCAGCUUACCAGUCUGCGACUGACGCUCAGGCACGAAAGUGUGGGUAUCGAACAG
This 251-nucleotide ribosomal RNA is filed under the name uncultured bacterium. RNAcentral's name for it is "partial 16S ribosomal RNA". It matches the Rfam family "Bacterial small subunit ribosomal RNA", at positions 524 to 775 of the family's 1533-position model. The record is from RNAcentral.